GGGGGAUUAGCUUAGUUGGUAGAGCGCCUGCUUUGCAAGCAGGAGGUCAUCGGUUCGAUCCCGUUAUCCUCCACCA
Molecule: transfer RNA, 76 nt
Filed under: Pelistega europaea
Lineage: Bacteria; Pseudomonadati; Pseudomonadota; Betaproteobacteria; Burkholderiales; Alcaligenaceae
Also listed under: 2 other names
Description: tRNA-Ala
Rfam family: tRNA
About the family: Transfer RNA (tRNA) molecules are approximately 80 nucleotides in length. Their secondary structure includes four short double-helical elements and three loops (D, anti-codon, and T loops).
Source: RNAcentral